GAUGAACGCUGGCGGCGUGCUUAACACAUGCAAGUCGAACGAACCUUCGGGUUAGUGGCGGACGGGUGAGUAACGCGUGAGAAUCUGCCCUCAGGAGGGGGACAACAGCUGGAAACGGCUGCUAAUACCCCAUAUGCCGAGAGGUGAAACGAAUUUCGCCUGAGGAUGAGCUCGCGUCUGAUUAGCUAGUUGGUGUGGUAAAGGUGCACCAAGGCAUCGAUCAGUAGCUGGUCUGAGAGGAUGAUCAGCCACACUGGGACUGAGACACGGCCCAGACUCCUACGGGAGGCAGCAGUGGGGAAUUUUCCGCAAUGGGCGAAAGCCUGACGGAGCAACGCCGCGUGAGGGAUGAAGGCCUCUGGGCUGUAAACCUCUUUUCUCAAGGAAGAAGAUCUGACGGUACUUGAGGAAUAAGCCACGGCUAAUUCCGUGCCAGCAGCCGCGGUAAUACGGGAGUGGCAAGCGUUAUCCGGAAUUAUUGGGCGUAAAGCGUCCGCAGGCGGCCCAUCAAGUCUGCUGUUAAAAAGUGGAGCUUAACUCCAUCAUGGCAGUGGAAACUGUUGGGCUAGAGUGUGGUAGGGGCAGAGGGAACUCCCGGUGUAGCGGUGAAAUGCGUAGAUAUCGGGAAGAACACCAGUGGCGAAGGCGCUCUGCUGGGCCAUAACUGACGCUCAUGGACGAAAGCCAGGGGAGCGAAAGGGAUUAGAUACCCCUGUAGUCCUGGCCGUAAACGAUGAACACUAGGUGUCGGGGGAAUCGACCCCCUCGGUGUCGUAGCCCAACGCGUUAAGUGUUCCGCCUGGGGAGUACGCACGCAAGUGUG
RNAcentral lists this ribosomal RNA (823 nucleotides) under uncultured bacterium. RNAcentral's name for it is "bacterial SSU rRNA". It matches the Rfam family "Bacterial small subunit ribosomal RNA", at positions 28 to 896 of the family's 1533-position model. The record is from RNAcentral.